RNAcentral lists this long non-coding RNA (334 nucleotides) under Arabidopsis lyrata. RNAcentral describes it as "long non-coding RNA (ALYR_LNC002177)". The record is from RNAcentral. Lineage: Eukaryota; Viridiplantae; Streptophyta; Magnoliopsida; Brassicales; Brassicaceae.
GAAACUCUUCAGACUCAUAAUAGUCUUCCUCUAUUCAACAAUAGUCACAUUUAAAAGUUCAACACUAUACUUUUUUUUUACAUCUUAUGUUCUCUAAACCUUAAUCUAUAUAUUUACAUCACUAAAUGAAUGACAAUAAUUAAUCUUUAUACAACGAAUUAAGGUCUAAAGGAUCUCACCUAAUACAAGUUAAAAGCUAAAAGUAGGAAAAAGCCGUGAUUUACAGAAUCUAUUUAAGUGUAUGAACCAUGACAAAUGAAUAAAUAUAUACAAUUUAAAACGGAAAAGAGAUUGAAUUAGUGUGGAAAAACAAGCCACUAUCGGUAUUAAAAAA